RNAcentral lists this ribosomal RNA (850 nucleotides) under uncultured bacterium. RNAcentral's name for it is "bacterial SSU rRNA". It matches the Rfam family "Bacterial small subunit ribosomal RNA", at positions 645 to 1501 of the family's 1533-position model. The record is from RNAcentral.
AGUGUGGGAGAGGAAGAUGGAAUUAGUUGUGUAGGGGUAAAAUCCGUAGAGAUAACUAGGAAUACCAAAAGCGAAGGCAAUCUUCUGGAACAUUACUGACGCUGAGGCGCGAAAGCGUGGGGAGCAAACAGGAUUAGAUACCCUGGUAGUCCACGCCCUAAACGAUGAAUGUUAGUCGUCGGGUAGCUAGUCUAUUCGGUGAUGCAGCUAACGCAUUAAACAUUCCGCCUGGGGAGUACGGUCGCAAGAUUAAAACUCAAAGGAAUAGACGGGGACCCGCACAAGUGGUGGAGCAUGUGGUUUAAUUCGAAGAUACGCGAAGAACCUUACCUAGCCUUGACAUAUUUUAGAACUCCGUAGAGAUACAGAGGUGCCUUCGGGAGCUAAUUUACAGGUGCUGCACGGCUGUCGUCAGCUCGUGUCGUGAGAUGUUGGGUUAAGUCCCGCAACGAGCGCAACCCUCGUCACUAGUUACUAACAGUUCGGCUGAGGACUCUAGUGAGACUGCCUUCGUAAGGAGGAGGAAGGUGAGGACGACGUCAAGUCAUCAUGGCCCUUACGGCUAGGGCGACACACGUGCUACAAUGGCCAGGACAGUGAGACGCGAUACCGUGAGGUGGAGCAAAUCUAUAAACCUGGUCUCAGUUCGGAUUGUAGUCUGCAACUCGACUACAUGAAGUUGGAAUCACUAGUAAUCGUAGAUCAGCUAUGCUACGGUGAAUACGUUCCCGGGUCUUGUACUCACCGCCCGUCACACCAUGGGAGUUGAUUUCACCCGAAGCGGGGAAGCUAAACUGGCUACCCUCCACGGUGGAAUUAGCGACUGGGGUGAAGUCGUAACAAGGUAACC